UACGGGGGGAGCAAGCGUUGUUCGGAUUUACUGGGCGUAAAGGGCGCGUAGGCGGCCAGCACAAGUCAGUUGUGAAAUCUCCGAGCUUAACUCGGAAAGGUCAACUGAUACUGUGCGGCUAGAGUGCGGAAGGGGCAACUGGAAUUCUUGGUGUAGCGGUGAAAUGCGUAGAUAUCAAGAGGAACACCUACGGCGAAGGCAGCUCGCUGGGACGGUACUGACGCUGAGACGCGAAAGCGUGGGGAGCAAACAGG
RNAcentral lists this ribosomal RNA (254 nucleotides) under uncultured bacterium. Its description in RNAcentral is "partial 16S ribosomal RNA". It matches the Rfam family "Bacterial small subunit ribosomal RNA", at positions 524 to 776 of the family's 1533-position model. The record is from RNAcentral.